Molecule: ribosomal RNA, 3004 nt
Filed under: Salmonella enterica subsp. enterica
Lineage: Bacteria; Pseudomonadati; Pseudomonadota; Gammaproteobacteria; Enterobacterales; Enterobacteriaceae
Description: bacterial LSU rRNA
Rfam family: Bacterial large subunit ribosomal RNA
Source: RNAcentral
UUAAGCGACUAAGCGUACACGGUGGAUGCCCUGGCAGUCAGAGGCGAUGAAGGACGUGCUAAUCUGCGAUAAGCGCCGGUAAGGUGAUAUGAACCGUUAUAACCGGCGAUUUCCGAAUGGGGAAACCCAGUGUGACUCGUCACACUAUCAUUAACUGAAUCCAUAGGUUAAUGAGGCGAACCGGGGGAACUGAAACAUCUAAGUACCCCGAGGAAAAGAAAUCAACCGAGAUUCCCCCAGUAGCGGCGAGCGAACGGGGAGGAGCCCAGAGCCUGAAUCAGCAUGUGUGUUAGUGGAAGCGUCUGGAAAGGCGCGCGAUACAGGGUGACAGCCCCGUACACAAAAGCGCAUGUGCUGUGAGCUCGAUGAGUAGGGCGGGACACGUGGUAUCCUGUCUGAAUAUGGGGGGACCAUCCUCCAAGGCUAAAUACUCCUGACUGACCGAUAGUGAACCAGUACCGUGAGGGAAAGGCGAAAAGAACCCCGGCGAGGGGAGUGAAAAAGAACCUGAAACCGUGUACGUACAAGCAGUGGGAGCCCCACCACCAAAGCAUUCUCUGGUGUUGAAGGCCCUGCAAAGCAGCAUCGCGGUGGCGGAGCGUCGUUUGCGACGCCCAACACACAAAACAAGCGGUGAGUGCUUUGGGGUGGGGUGACUGCGUACCUUUUGUAUAAUGGGUCAGCGACUUAUAUUCUGUAGCAAGGUUAACCGCAUAGGGGAGCCGGAGGGAAACCGAGUCUUAAUUGGGCGUUAAGUUGCAGGGUAUAGACCCGAAACCCGGUGAUCUAGCCAUGGGCAGGUUGAAGGUUGGGUAACACUAACUGGAGGACCGAACCGACUAAUGUUGAAAAAUUAGCGGAUGACCUGUGGCUGGGGGUGAAAGGCCAAUCAAACCGGGAGAUAGCUGGUUCUCCCCGAAAGCUAUUUAGGUAGCGCCUCGUGAAUUCAUCUCCGGGGGUAGAGCACUGUUUCGGCUAGGGGGCCAUCCCGGCUUACCAACCCGAUGCAAACUGCGAAUACCGGAGAAUGUUAUCACGGGAGACACACGGCGGGUGCUAACGUCCGUCGUGAAGAGGGAAACAACCCAGACCGCCAGCUAAGGUCCCAAAGUCAUGGUUAAGUGGGAAACGAUGUGGGAAGGCCCAGACAGCCAGGAUGUUGGCUUAGAAGCAGCCAUCAUUUAAAGAAAGCGUAAUAGCUCACUGGUCGAGUCGGCCUGCGCGGAAGAUGUAACGGGGCUAAACCAUGCACCGAAGCUGCGGCAGCGACACUGUGUGUUGUUGGGUAGGGGAGCGUUCUGUAAGCCUGCGAAGGUGGCCUGUGAGGGUUGCUGGAGGUAUCAGAAGUGCGAAUGCUGACAUAAGUAACGAUAAAGCGGGUGAAAAGCCCGCUCGCCGGAAGACCAAGGGUUCCUGUCCAACGUUAAUCGGGGCAGGGUGAGUCGACCCCUAAGGCGAGGCCGAAAGGCGUAGUCGAUGGGAAACGGGUUAAUAUUCCCGUACUUGGUGUUACUGCGAAGGGGGGACGGAGAAGGCUAUGUUGGCCGGGCGACGGUUGUCCCGGUUUAAGCGUGUAGGUGUGUGUUCCAGGUAAAUCCGGUUCACUUUAACACUGAGGCGUGAUGACGAGGCACUACGGUGCUGAAGCAACAAAUGCCCUGCUUCCAGGAAAAGCCUCUAAGCAUCAGGUAACAUCAAAUCGUACCCCAAACCGACACAGGUGGUCAGGUAGAGAAUACCAAGGCGCUUGAGAGAACUCGGGUGAAGGAACUAGGCAAAAUGGUGCCGUAACUUCGGGAGAAGGCACGCUGACACGUAGGUGAAGUGAUUUACUCACGGAGCUGAAGUCAGUCGAAGAUACCAGCUGGCUGCAACUGUUUAUUAAAAACACAGCACUGUGCAAACACGAAAGUGGACGUAUACGGUGUGACGCCUGCCCGGUGCCGGAAGGUUAAUUGAUGGGGUCAGCGCAAGCGAAGCUCCUGAUCGAAGCCCCGGUAAACGGCGGCCGUAACUAUAACGGUCCUAAGGUAGCGAAAUUCCUUGUCGGGUAAGUUCCGACCUGCACGAAUGGCGUAAUGAUGGCCAGGCUGUCUCCACCCGAGACUCAGUGAAAUUGAACUCGCUGUGAAGAUGCAGUGUACCCGCGGCAAGACGGAAAGACCCCGUGAACCUUUACUAUAGCUUGACACUGAACAUUGAGCCUUGAUGUGUAGGAUAGGUGGGAGGCUUUGAAGUGUGGACGCCAGUCUGCAUGGAGCCGACCUUGAAAUACCACCCUUUAAUGUUUGAUGUUCUAACGUGGACCGUGAUCCGGGUUGCGGACAGUGUCUGGUGGGUAGUUUGACUGGGGCGGUCUCCUCCUAAAGAGUAACGGAGGAGCACGAAGGUUGGCUAAUCCUGGUCGGACAUCAGGAGGUUAGUGCAAUGGCAUAAGCCAGCUUGACUGCGAGCGUGACGGCGCGAGCAGGUGCGAAAGCAGGUCAUAGUGAUCCGGUGGUUCUGAAUGGAAGGGCCAUCGCUCAACGGAUAAAAGGUACUCCGGGGAUAACAGGCUGAUACCGCCCAAGAGUUCAUAUCGACGGCGGUGUUUGGCACCUCGAUGUCGGCUCAUCACAUCCUGGGGCUGAAGUAGGUCCCAAGGGUAUGGCUGUUCGCCAUUUAAAGUGGUACGCGAGCUGGGUUUAGAACGUCGUGAGACAGUUCGGUCCCUAUCUGCCGUGGGCGCUGGAGAACUGAGGGGGGCUGCUCCUAGUACGAGAGGACCGGAGUGGACGCAUCACUGGUGUUCGGGUUGUCAUGCCAAUGGCACUGCCCGGUAGCUAAAUGCGGAAGAGAUAAGUGCUGAAAGCAUCUAAGCACGAAACUUGCCCCGAGAUGAGUUCUCCCUGAGACUUAGAGUCUCCUGAAGGAACGUUGAAGACGACGACGUUGAUAGGCCGGGUGUGUAAGCGCAGCGAUGCGUUGAGCUAACCGGUACUAAUGAACCGUGAGGCUUAACCUU